RNAcentral lists this ribosomal RNA (253 nucleotides) under uncultured bacterium. RNAcentral describes it as "partial 16S ribosomal RNA". It matches the Rfam family "Bacterial small subunit ribosomal RNA", at positions 524 to 776 of the family's 1533-position model. The record is from RNAcentral.
UACAGAGGUCCCAAGCGUUGUUCGGAUUCACUGGGCGUAAAGGGUGCGUAGGUGGUGAGGUAAGUCCGAUGUGAAAGCUCCGAGCUCAACUCGGAAAUUGCAUUAGAAACUACCUUGCUAGAGGGUUGGAGGGGGGACUGGAAUUCUCGGUGUAGCAGUGACAUGCGUAGAUAUCGAGAGGAACACCAGUGGCGAAGGCGAGUCCCUGGACAACUCCUGACACUGAGGCACGAAAGCUAGGGGAGCAAACAGG